CUUCGGAUUGGUGAGAGUGGCGGACGGGUGAGAAACGCGUGGGAACCUGCCCAUUGGUUCGGGACAACCGCGGGAAACUGCGGCUAAUACCGGAUGAGCUCUAGCGAGGAAAGAUUUAUCGCCGAUGGAGGGGCCCGCGUCCGAUUAGGUAGUUGGUGGGGUAAAAGCCUACCAAGCCGACGAUCGGUAGCUGGUCUGAGAGGAUGAUCAGCCACACUGGGACUGAGAUACGGCCCAGACUCCUACGGGAGGCAGCAGUGGGGAAUAUUGGACAAUGGGGGCAACCCUGAUCCAGCAAUGCCGCGUGAGUGAUGAAGGCCUUAGGGUUGUAAAGCUCUUUUGCCAGGGACGAUGAUGACGGUACCUGGAGAAUAAGCCCCGGCUAACUUCGUGCCAGCCGCCGCGGUAA
This 409-nucleotide ribosomal RNA is filed under the name uncultured bacterium. RNAcentral's name for it is "bacterial SSU rRNA". It matches the Rfam family "Bacterial small subunit ribosomal RNA", at positions 78 to 523 of the family's 1533-position model. The record is from RNAcentral.